AGAAACCAACAGGGAUUGCCUCAGUAACGGCGAGUGAAGCGGCAACAGCUCAAAUUUGAAAUCUGGCCCUCGGGUCCGAGUUGUAAUUUGUAGAGGAUGCUUUUGGCGCGGUGCCUUCCGAGUUCCCUGGAACGGGACGCCUUAGAGGGUGAGAGCCCCGUACGGUUGGACACCAAGCCUCUGUAAAGCUCCUUCGACGAGUCGAGUAGUUUGGGAAUGCUGCUCUAAAUGGGAGGUAAAUUUCUUCUAAAGCUAAAUAUUGGCCAGAGACCGAUAGCGCACAAGUAGAGUGAUCGAAAGAUGAAAAGCACUUUGAAAAGAGGGUUAAAUAGCACGUGAAAUUGUUGAAAGGGAAGCGUUUGCGACCAGACCUUUUCCUGGCGGAUCAUCCGGUGUUCUCACCGGUGCACUUCGCCAGGUCGAGGCCAGCAUCGGUUUCCGCGGGGGGAUAAAAGCUCUGGGAACGUAGCUCCUCCGGGAGUGUUAUAGCCCUCUGCACAAUACCCCCGCGGGGACCGAGGACCGCGCUCUAAGCAAGGAUGCUGGCGUAAUGGUUGUCAACGACCCGUCUUGAAACACGGACCAAGGAGUCGAACAUUUGUGCGAGUGUUUGGGUGUCAAACCCUCACGCGUAAUGAAGGUGAACGUAGGUGAGAGCCCUUACGGGUGCAUCAUCGACCGAUCCUGAUGUCUUCGGAUGGAUUUGAGUAAGAGCAUAACUGUUCGGACCCGAAAGAUGGUGAACUAUGCGUGGAUAGGGUGAAGCCAGAGGAAACUCUGGUGGAGGCUCGCAGCGGUUCUGACGUGCAAAUCGAUCGUCAAAUCUGCGCAUGGGGGCGAAAGACUUAUCGAACCAUCUAGUAGCUGGUUAC
RNAcentral lists this ribosomal RNA (872 nucleotides) under Rosellinia necatrix. RNAcentral's name for it is "eukaryotic LSU rRNA". It matches the Rfam family "Eukaryotic large subunit ribosomal RNA", at positions 60 to 958 of the family's 3401-position model. Lineage: Eukaryota; Fungi; Ascomycota; Sordariomycetes; Xylariales; Xylariaceae. The record is from RNAcentral.